This 332-nucleotide ribosomal RNA is filed under the name uncultured bacterium. Its description in RNAcentral is "bacterial SSU rRNA". It matches the Rfam family "Bacterial small subunit ribosomal RNA", at positions 568 to 898 of the family's 1533-position model. The record is from RNAcentral.
CGUGUAGGCGGCCGACCAAGUCCGGUGUGAAAGCCCGGGGCUCACCCCCGGAAGUGCAUCGGAAACUAGCCGGCUUGAGCGCGAUAGAGGAGGGUGGAAUUCCUGGUGUAGCGGUGAAAUGCGUAGAUAUCAGGAGGAACAUCGGCGGCGAAGGCGGCCCUCUGGCUCGUUGCUGACGCUGAGACGCGAAAGCGUGGGGAGCAAACAGGAUUAGAUACCCUGGUAGUCCACGCUGUAAACGAUGGGUACUAGGUGUUCGGGGUGUUGACCCCCUGAGUGCCGACGCUAACGCAUUAAGUACCCCGCCUGGGGACUACGGCCGCAAGGCUAAA